RNAcentral lists this ribosomal RNA (89 nucleotides) under Theobroma microcarpum. RNAcentral's name for it is "partial 5.8S ribosomal RNA". It matches the Rfam family "5.8S ribosomal RNA", at positions 30 to 118 of the family's 154-position model. From Rfam's summary of the family: 5.8S ribosomal RNA (5.8S rRNA) is a component of the large subunit of the eukaryotic ribosome. It is transcribed by RNA polymerase I as part of the 45S precursor that also contains 18S and 28S rRNA. Functionally, it is thought that 5.8S rRNA may be involved in ribosome translocation. Lineage: Eukaryota; Viridiplantae; Streptophyta; Magnoliopsida; Malvales; Malvaceae. The record is from RNAcentral.
GCAUCGAUGAAGAACGUAGCGAAAUAUGAUAUUUGGUGUGAAUUGCAAAAUCCUGUGAACCAUCAAGUCUUCGAAUGCAAGUUGCUCCC